Molecule: ribosomal RNA, 165 nt
Filed under: Stephanocyclus meneghinianus
Lineage: Eukaryota; Bacillariophyta; Thalassiosirophyceae; Thalassiosirales; Thalassiosiraceae
Description: Cyclotella meneghiniana 5.8S ribosomal RNA
Rfam family: 5.8S ribosomal RNA
About the family: 5.8S ribosomal RNA (5.8S rRNA) is a component of the large subunit of the eukaryotic ribosome. It is transcribed by RNA polymerase I as part of the 45S precursor that also contains 18S and 28S rRNA.
Source: RNAcentral
CUUUACAACUUUUGGCAAUGGAUGUCUUGGGUCCCACAACGAUGAAGAACGCAGCGAAAUGCGAUACGUAAUGCGAAUUGCAGGACCUCAUGAAUCAUCAAACUUUUGAACGCACAUUGCGCUUCUGGGUUAUUCCCAGGAGCAUACUUAUCUGAGUGUCCCGGA